RNAcentral lists this transfer RNA (62 nucleotides) under Rhinophis philippinus. RNAcentral's name for it is "tRNA-Tyr". The record is from RNAcentral. Lineage: Eukaryota; Metazoa; Chordata; Lepidosauria; Squamata; Uropeltidae.
GGUAGUAUGGCUGAAACAGCGAUAAACUGUAAAUUUAUACAUAAGGGCGACCUUUACUGCCA